UGUUCGCCUGGGAACUACGAGCCCCAGCUUAAAACCCUAAGGAUUUGGCGGUGCUUAAGAUCCACCUAGAGGAGCCUGUUCUUGAACCGACAACCCCCGUUCUACCUCACCUUUUCUUGUAAAUUCCGUCUAUAUACCGCCGCCGUCAGCCCACCCUGUGAGGGUCCAAUAGCAAGCGAAACUGGUACAACCCCAAACGCCAGGUCGAGGUGUAGCAUAUGAGAAGGGAAGAAAUGGGCUACAUUCUCUACUUAAGAGCAUACGAAUAAGAGGUUGAAAAACCCCUUAGAAGGAGGAUUUAGCAGUAAGAGAUGAAUAGAGCGCACCUCUGAAAUUGGCCCUAAAGCGCGUACACACCGCCCG
This 363-nucleotide ribosomal RNA is filed under the name Gobiesox barbatulus (lappetlip clingfish). RNAcentral describes it as "partial 12S ribosomal RNA". It matches the Rfam family "Bacterial small subunit ribosomal RNA", at positions 866 to 1396 of the family's 1533-position model. The record is from RNAcentral. Lineage: Eukaryota; Metazoa; Chordata; Actinopteri; Blenniiformes; Gobiesocidae.